UGAGUUUUGAUUUUUUAUUCCGCCUUAUGGCAUUAUGCUGGAUCGCCUCCCAUGUCAGCCUAGUGAUUCAAUUUUGCUAUUUCCCUGACGUGUUAUUUAGACCCUCUUUUUUUUUCAAAGAGACACUUUAAACACAGUUACCUACAUUUUGUCUAGCUGCUUCUACGUAACUCGGGGCUAGAUGACUUGUGUUCAGAAAUAAUAAAG
RNAcentral lists this unclassified non-coding RNA (207 nucleotides) under Hevea brasiliensis (rubber tree). Lineage: Eukaryota; Viridiplantae; Streptophyta; Magnoliopsida; Malpighiales; Euphorbiaceae. The record is from RNAcentral.